UAAUUUUAUUUUUUUUGCAAUUCUUUAUUUUUGCGUGCAAGGUUAGUUACAAUACUACCCGUAUGGCCACAACAGCCUUCCGGGUUUUCAAAUGUUUCAUGACAUCACAACAUAGUUUAGGCAUACAUAGCAGUCUGUCGAUUCUAAUCUGUGGUGUUAGCUAGUUCUGCACAUUUUAAUAUAAUUUAUGGGUCAGUUGGUGUCGAACUGAGGCAACAUUGGAGUACUUUUGAGGAGUGUGUCUUUUUCCCCCUCCAGUGCUAGGAUUGUAG
This is a non-coding RNA of Pelobates cultripes (western spadefoot toad), 272 nucleotides long. Lineage: Eukaryota; Metazoa; Chordata; Amphibia; Anura; Pelobatidae. The record is from the annotation of a GenBank genome assembly.